Non-coding RNA from Acanthosepion pharaonis, 113 nucleotides. NCBI's taxonomy places the organism in Eukaryota, Metazoa, Mollusca, Cephalopoda, Sepiida, Sepiidae. The record is from the annotation of a GenBank genome assembly.
AUGGCCACAUUACCUUGAAACACUGGUUCCCCAUACAAUCCCCAAAGUUAAGUAACAUCAAGUCUGGUCAGUACCUAGAUGGGUGACCACUUGGGAAUAUCAGGUGCUGUAAG